Molecule: long non-coding RNA, 689 nt
Organism: Mus musculus (house mouse)
Lineage: Eukaryota; Metazoa; Chordata; Mammalia; Rodentia; Muridae
Product: predicted gene, 54008
Exons: 3
Source: RefSeq, a predicted model, not a curated record
UUCCGGAUUGUAGUUCAUUCCAAAUAUUGUCAAGUUGACAACCAGGAAUAGCCACUACACAUGGGUAAUCCACAAACCAGAGGGCUCUGAGGUGAGAGGCAGCACCCAACAGAGAAGAGCUCCGCACAGUGCUGUUGGAGGAUUGACAGCACAGAAGGUGCCUGCUCACUCUCCUCUCCCCGACUCUGCCCUUCUCAGGGCUGCCCUGUCGCAUAUGGACCUCAUCCAGAUUCCAAAAGAAAGAAGGCGAGAAAGAAGCUAGCCCUUCAAGUGUGCUUUAAGAGCAGCGAGCUGAUGGGGAAUGCAUUUCCCACAGCAGAACAGGAUGAGGGGAUUUCGUCCCUGAAGAAUAAAAGGAAUAAAUAGCAGAGUCCAUUUGAUGGAAGAGAUUGGCUAGAGGCCAGUGAACAUGAACAUGGCAAUCCAGAUGGAUUCAGGAGCCUUCGGGCCCUGUCCACUGUCUGGGCUCGUCCUGAGGCCUCCACACUAUUGGCUCAACCCUGAGAUUCCCUUCCACUCUGUAACAAGGCUUUGGCCAUGUGAAACUGUGACCCUGAUAUCAUUUCUCCCUCUCCCUCUUCCUCUCCCCUUUCUCCCUCCUUCUUAAAUGAGUCUUUGUGGUUGAGGGCAUUUCUUUUUUUUUUUAAUAAACAAACAGAUAACAACAAAUAAAUAGACAAAUAUAAUAA